CAGCCGCCACGGUAAUACGGAGGGUGCAAGCGUUAUCCGGAUUUAUUGGGUUUAAAGGGUCCGUAGGCGGAUCUGUAAGUCAGUGGUGAAAUCUCACAGCUUAACUGUGAAACUGCCAUUGAUACUGCAGGUCUUGAGUAAAUUUGAAGUGGCUGGAAUAAGUAGUGUAGCGGUGAAAUGCAUAGAUAUUACUUAGAACACCAAUUGCGAAGGCAGGUCACUAAGAUUUAACUGACGCUGAUGGACGAAAGCGUGGGGAGCGAACAGGAUUAGAUACCCGCGUAGUCCCUGUCUCUUAUAC
RNAcentral lists this ribosomal RNA (301 nucleotides) under uncultured bacterium. RNAcentral describes it as "partial 16S ribosomal RNA". It matches the Rfam family "Bacterial small subunit ribosomal RNA", at positions 509 to 807 of the family's 1533-position model. The record is from RNAcentral.